UACGUAGGUGGCAAGCGUUGUCCGGAAUUAUUGGGCGUAAAGCGCGCGCAGGCGGUCCUUUAAGUCUGAUGUGAAAGCCCACGGCUCAACCGUGGAGGGUCAUUGGAAACUGGGGGACUUGAGUGCAGGAGAGAAGAGUGGAAUUCCAGGUGUAGCGGUGAAAUGCGUAGAUAUCUGAAGGAACACCAGUGGCGAAAGCGGCUUCCUGGUCCAGUACCGACGUUCAGGCACGAAAGCGUGGGGAGCAAACAGG
RNAcentral lists this ribosomal RNA (253 nucleotides) under uncultured bacterium. RNAcentral describes it as "partial 16S ribosomal RNA". It matches the Rfam family "Bacterial small subunit ribosomal RNA", at positions 524 to 776 of the family's 1533-position model. The record is from RNAcentral.